UUGGCAGAACUCUCAUGUUCUGUGGCUGCAUCCCUCAAUACAGGCUCUGAAAAACAUUGUCACAUUGGCUGCCACCCCAGAGCCAUAGAGGCCUACAAAGAUGUCAUGGGGGAAAGCAAAGAUGAACUCUGUGGGAAAAGUGUUGCUUCUGUUCUACUCAGUGUGUUGGCAUAGUAACAGCGGAGCUUAUCAACAACAGGCGGGUUUUGUUUUAGAAAAGAUAUUAACGGUAGCUAGCAAGCAGGCUAUCAAAGGAAUAUUAGCUAGCUGAUGGAGAUCAAAUGGCUGAUAAACGUGGUUUGGAGAAACUGGACUUUGGUGCAUCGAGCAACAGCAGCAACUCUGACAAUUUAAGAUUACUUCACUGACCCAAACCUUUGAUCAUUGGCUCCAAAACUGCAGGGCGACCCUGCCGACACAGGCACAGACUGAAUCCUUACCGGUUUGUUCGGCAGUUCAACUGUUAUUGAAGUGUAAAGCUGUAACAAGUCUCUUUCUCUGUGUUCUGUACAUCCUCUGUAUUGACUAGUUAUGUGUCAAAGUAACAUGAUACAAAUAUAAAACAUUAUAUAAAGUGGGAAUGUACUGGCACCCAGGCAGACGUUCUUGCUGAGCAUCAUUUACAACAGGUUAGUUACAGGGCUAAAGGAGGAUGUUUUAUACCGCUGGUUGAGAGGAAGAUAUAGAUUUCUAGGCCUAUAGGGUGGAGUGGACAGCCUCUUUACAGGAAUUCUCAGGGAAAAGUCUAAACGGGAUCAUUGGGACGUCCCAACUCUGACGUUAAGCCAUUGAAGUUGAAAUAUAAAACGGUUAAGGUUAGGGAUGUCCCAAGGAUUCCGGAUAGCACUAACCGUUUUCUCAAGCCUCAGAGUUCACCCUUCUGGACUCCUAUGUACUUCCACUAACUCCCCAACUCAUCAGAUGAAACAAAAAACAUUAAGCAAGAUGAGACAAUGUGACCGCAGCAAUACUGACCAUAACUUUAGAAUGAUCUGCCCACACUGGAUACACAGUUUCAAUGUUUAAUGAAUUAAAAAUCAUCAAGUAACCAGCGCAUCAGGCUUUGCUUUAAAAACAUACAUAGCACAGUAAAAACAGGUAAAUUCCAUCUGUCACAAAGCAUGACAAUAAAUCAUUCAUAAUUCUGUUUGAUUCACAUUUUAUAAUCUGACACGCUACAAAAAUAGGCACAUCUGGUUUAACAAUUAAGUGAUUGUAUAGAGAAGAAGACCCUGAAAUUGUAUAAAAACCUUGACCCUGACAAUAUUGGACAUUCCA
Molecule: non-coding RNA, 1278 nt
Organism: Salmo salar (Atlantic salmon)
Lineage: Eukaryota; Metazoa; Chordata; Actinopteri; Salmoniformes; Salmonidae
Source: RefSeq, a predicted model, not a curated record